UACCUACGGGGGGCAUCAGUGUUUACUCUUGUGCAAUUUUCUCAAGCCUGACCCAGCAACGCCGCGUGAAGGAAGAAGGCCCUCGGGUUGUAAACUUCUUUUAUUCGGGACGAAACAAAUGACGGUACCGAAUGAAUAAGCCACGGCUAACUACGUGCCAGCAGCCGCGGUAAUACGUAGGUGGCAAGCGUUAUCCGGAUUUACUGGGUGUAAAGGGCGUGUAGGCGGGAGAGCAAGUCAGACGUGAAAUUCCAGGGCUCAACCCUGGAACUGCGUUUGAAACUGUUCUUCUUGAGUGAUGGAGA
Molecule: ribosomal RNA, 305 nt
Filed under: uncultured bacterium
Lineage: Bacteria
Description: bacterial SSU rRNA
Rfam family: Bacterial small subunit ribosomal RNA
Source: RNAcentral